RNAcentral lists this ribosomal RNA (374 nucleotides) under uncultured organism. RNAcentral describes it as "partial 16S ribosomal RNA". It matches the Rfam family "Bacterial small subunit ribosomal RNA", at positions 527 to 896 of the family's 1533-position model. The record is from RNAcentral.
GUAGGUGGCAAGCGUUGUCCGGAAUUAUUGGGGCGUAAAGCGCGCGCAGGCGGUUCGUUUAAGUCUGAUGUGAAAGCCCACGGCUCAACCGUGGAGGGUCAUUGGAAACUGGAGAACUUGAGUACAGAAGAGGAAAGCGGAAUUCCACGUGUAGCGGUGAAAUGCGUAGAGAUGUGGAGGAACACCAGUGGCGAAGGCGGCUUUCUGGUCUGUAACUGACGCUGAGGCGCGAAAGCGUGGGGAGCAAACAGGAUUAGAUACCCUGGUAGUCCACGCCGUAAACGAUGAGUGCUAAGUGUUAGGGGGUUUCCGCCCCUUAGUGCUGCAGCUAACGCAUUAAGCACUCCGCCUGGGGAGUACGGCCGCAAAGGCUG